This 432-nucleotide long non-coding RNA is filed under the name Salvia miltiorrhiza (redroot sage). RNAcentral describes it as "long non-coding RNA (SMIL_LNC002664)". The record is from RNAcentral. Lineage: Eukaryota; Viridiplantae; Streptophyta; Magnoliopsida; Lamiales; Lamiaceae.
UAAUGUUAAAAUCCCCAAUUUGAAAGAACACUCUAGAAAGUCAGCCUAACACGGCUAAUUCUCAGCAAAUGAAGCAGCAAUUCGUUGAAAAAUACUGCGUGGCGCGAUUCACAAUUAGAGGAAGCAACACGACAGAUGAUUCACUAAUGCUAUGCUACAGCACGACAUCGAUUCGAAAUCGGAUAGAAGGAGAGGGCACAGAGGCUCAAGGCGCGGCGGAGGAUUUAGAGGUGCUGCCGCUGCAACUUCGUCGGCCCAAGCGACACCGCUGUUAACGCGGCCAUGUCUUCGGCGAGGGACAGCGGCGGCUGUCAGCCAAGAGAAAGAGAAAGAGAGAGAGAGCGGGUGGGAGAGGAAUGAGAGAGAGAGAGACCGAGAGAGUUUAGAGAGAGAUUAGGCGUGGGUAUUUUUUAAAAUUUUAAUCUUAAGGGC